Long non-coding RNA from Antechinus flavipes (yellow-footed antechinus), 249 nucleotides. RefSeq lists it as uncharacterized. The transcript has 3 exons. NCBI's taxonomy places the organism in Eukaryota, Metazoa, Chordata, Mammalia, Dasyuromorphia, Dasyuridae. The record is from RefSeq and is a predicted model, not a curated record.
GCGGAUUGACUUUGCGCAGGCGUAAUCUGACGCGAGGGCCGAGUGCGUAUUCCGCUUUGUCUGGCUCCGCAAACGCGGCGGGGUUCUAGAACCAGGAGGUGCUUCCAGACCCCUGAGUCAUCCUGUCCCCGCAGGUUCUAGAACCAGGAGGUGCUUCCAGACCCCGGAGUCAUCCUGUCGCCGCAGGUUCUAGAACCAGGAGGUGCUUCCAGACCCCGGAGUCAUCCUGUCGCCGCAGGUUCUAGAGCC